GAGGGUAUAGCUCAAGUGGUAGAGCAUAUGCUUAACAUGUGUGAGGUCCUGGAUUCAAUCCCCAGUACCUCCU
RNAcentral lists this transfer RNA (73 nucleotides) under Camelus bactrianus (Bactrian camel). It matches the Rfam family "tRNA". Rfam says of the family: Transfer RNA (tRNA) molecules are approximately 80 nucleotides in length. Their secondary structure includes four short double-helical elements and three loops (D, anti-codon, and T loops). Further hydrogen bonds mediate the characteristic L-shaped molecular structure. tRNAs have two regions of fundamental functional importance: the anti-codon, which is responsible for specific mRNA codon recognition, and the 3' end, to which the tRNAs corresponding amino acid is attached (by aminoacyl-tRNA synthetases). tRNAs cope with the degeneracy of the genetic code in two manners: having more than one tRNA (with a specific anti-codon) for a particular amino acid; and 'wobble' base-pairing, i.e. permitting non-standard base-pairing at the 3rd anti-codon position. The record is from Rfam by way of RNAcentral. Lineage: Eukaryota; Metazoa; Chordata; Mammalia; Artiodactyla; Camelidae. RNAcentral also lists the same sequence under 1 other name.